GGAAUAAGAAGAAGAAGACAGAUGACGUGGCAAUAAAUGAGUCGUGAAGCAAAGCCUUGGAAUGAAGUGGAGGGUUCGUUUUGUCAAACGUCUAUAAAAGAGCCGUUGCUCUGUAUCUAUCUUUUCUCAUGCUUUUAUUGUGAUUGUGUGUGUGUGACGAGCCUGCGUGCUUGUGAGGGAAGAUCUGUGUGAGAUCGACCUCGGAGAUUGAUUCGUAACUUGUUGUUGCGGAUUGAUUGUUGAUUUUCUGGUUUAUCGAUUUGUAAACUUCGUUAUUCAAAUCGAUCGGAAAGUUAUAUUGAUUCUCUGGGUUUUGAGUUAUUGAUCAUCUCUCUGGGUUUUGUGUUUGGUUCAUUCGAUUGCGUUAAACCUUAACAUUGGUGCGGUGAAACUGGUUCGUUACGUGUGUUGAUCAUGGAUCGCGAUGGAUCUGAUGUGUUUGAAGAAGAUACGGGUUCUUCUGAUGCAAUAUAUGUGCAGAUGAGGAAUUUGCGUUUGGGUUUUCAGGGUUUGUGUGAAGCGAAGGUGGAGACGGAGUCUAAGCUUGUGUCGUUGGAAGAGUUGCUCAAAUCGGUGGUGAAAACGUUGGAUCGUUUGGAGAUUCGAGCUGGAAAACACGUUGAUGAUGGUGAGCCUUCCCGACAGUCGUUUUCGGGUCAGAUUCUUCCUGAUCUCCACUCGUCGGAAACUCGAUCAUCGGGGUUACCUCUGGAAACUCGCGAAAAUCUGUUAAAAAAAAUUAAGAUGCCUGUGUUUACUGGAUCGCAGCCGUAUGCUUGGAUUUCACAGGUGGAGCGUUUUUUUCGGGUGGGUCGUUUUAGCGAUGCGGCUAGGUUGGAUUUGGUUUCCUUAAGUUUGGAAGGGGAUGUGUUGAAAUGGUUUAACUGGGAGGUUUCGCGUCGUGAUUUUGGGUCUUGGGAGGAGUUUAAGAAUCGUUUGUUGAUUCAUUUUGGGGGUACGAUUGAUGAUGAACCGGGGAAUAGACUAUUUGCCAUUAAACAGGUAGGAUCAGUGGCUGCAUACAUCACUGAAUUUCAGGAUUUAUCUUCUCAAGUGAUGGGGUUGGAUGAUACACACUUGGAGAAAAUUUUUUAUAAUGGUCUUAAGCAUGAGAUGAAGGAGGUGAUCAAAAUGAAAGAACCUAAGGGACUUCCAAAUCACAUUACAGCGGUGUUGAAAAUGGAAUCAAGCUCUUUUUGCAAAUUGGUUGGUGAAACUGGUGAAGGAAAGAAGCAACAAAGUCAGCCUAUUCCUCCACCUGCACGGCCAGUGUUUACUUCCAAUGCUCCUAAACCAGUAGGGAUUCCUCAAAGUUCUUAUAUUGGGAAGUCUCCAGAGAGCAGUCCAAAGCCUCUGGGUCGUCCGCGUAUACGCCAUAAUGAUGCAGAGUUGGAUGCUAUGCGCAGUAAGGGCCUUUGUUUUAAAUGCAAGGGCAAGUAUUUCAGAGGGCAUGAAUGUCCUAUGCGUGAGUUGCGUGUGAUGACAGUGGUUAAUGGUUAUGAAUUAGAAGUGUUGGAGGAGAAUAUGAUCGAGUGCACUGAAGAAGAAGGGGUGUUGGAUAUGGCACCUGUCACUGAGUUGAAGACUUUGUCUUUCAAUUCUUUCAUGGGGUUGCAUUCUCCCCGGACUACCAAGUUGGUGGGAUGGAUUGGUAAGCACAGGGUAAUUCUCAUGAUUGAUUGUGGGGCUUCCCACAAUUUCCUUACUCCUGCUUUGGCUCAAAAAUUGAAACUGCAAGUUACACCUGAUGCAAGUUUGGAUAUCCUGUUGGGAAAUGGAGCUAUUGUUCAGGGGUUAGGGGUUUGUAAAGGAGUACAUUUUCAGUUGUCUGGCGUUGGAUUCACAAAUGAUUUCAUCACACUGGAGUUGGGGAGUGUUGAUGUUAUUCUUGGAGUUCAAUGGCUGGAAACAUUGGGAAAAUGUGAAGUAGACUGGAAAUUGCAGGAAUGGCGAUUUAUGUAUAAUGGGGAACCAGUACUCUUGCAUGGAGAUCCUACUUUACAUAGGUCUCCCCUGUCUUUGAAAAGGUUAGGUGCACCUCCUGCUGUUGGACAUACUAAGACUCAGUUGGCUGUGCUGAAGGGGAGUGAGCCUCCAGCCCCUGUUUCUUUGGUACCUCCUGCAGUAGAUGAGUUGUUGCAUCAGUUUCCUUUUGUGUUUGCUUUGCCUUCUGGGUUACCACCAUUGCGUGGUCAGGAGCAUGCAAUCACUCUUUAUCCUGGUGUCACUUCUAUCUAUGUCAGGCCCUACCGUUAUCCUCAUGCCAGGAAAGAAGUAAUGGAGUCAUUGGUAGGGGAUAUGCUGACUUCUGGGAUCAUACAACCUAGCACCAGUCCUUUCUCCAGCCCUGUGUUAUUGGUCAAGAAGAAAGACGGCUCUUGGCGAUUUUGUGUUGAUUACAGAGCCCUCAACAAAGUGACAGUCCCGGAUAAGUUUCCUAUUCCGGUUAUUGACCAGUUGUUGGAUGAACUGAAUGGGUCUACUAUUUUUUCCAAGCUUGAUUUGCGAUCCGGGUAUCAUCAAAUAAGGAUGAAGCCGCAAGAUGUGGAGAAAACAGCUUUCAGAACACUUGAGGGGCACUAUGAAUUUCUUGUGAUGCCUUUUGGUUUGACAAACGCACCAGCUACCUUUCAGGCACUCAUGAACAAGAUUUUCAAACCAUUUCUCCGGAAGUUUGUUUUGGUUUUUUUUUGAUGAUAUCUUGGUCUUCAGUAACAACCUCACUUCUCAUGUGGAGCAUCUCCGGUUGGUGCUGCAGUUACUGGAGAAGCAUGUGUUAUUUGCCAACAAGAAGAAAUGCUCUUUUGGUGUCUCACAUGUUGAGUACUUGGGACAUAUUAUUUCUCGGCAGGGUGUGGCUACAGAUUCCACCAAAACCGAAGCUAUGCGAUUGUGGCCAACACCAACUAAUGUGAAACAACUCAGAGGGUUUUUAGGCCUGACAGGGUAUUACAGAAAGUUUGUUCAGGGGUAUGGGGUCAUUGCUAAGCCAUUGACUGACUUGUUACGCAAAGACCAGUUUGAGUGGACUCCUACAGCUCAACAAGCGUUUGAGAAGCUCAAAGUUGCCAUGGUGUCUGCUCCAGUGCUUGGUUUGCCUGAUUUUUCUCAAAAAUUUGUAGUGGAGACUGACGCCUCUGGUGUGGGAGUGGGGGCGGUGUUGAUGCAGGCAGGCAGACCUCUGGCAUACUUCAGUCAUGGUUUGACACCCAGGGAGCAACUCAAGCCAGCCUAUGAAAGAGAACUAAUGGCCAUUGUGCUAGCCGUCUUGAAAUGGAAACACUAUCUCAUUGGCAGGUGUUUUGUCGUUCAUACAGAUCAAAGGAGCCUCAAAUAUUUACUGGAGCAGAAGGAAGUAAGUAUGGAGUAUCAGAGAUGGUUAACCAAAUUGUUGGGGUUUGAUAUGGAGAUUUUUUACAAGCCUGGGGUUGAAAACAAGGCUGCUGAUGGGUUGUCUCGGAUGCCUCAGCCAGUGUUGUGUUCUUCUCUGUCAUUGCUAGCACUCACUGUUCCAGCAGUGCUACAACUACAAGACAUCUACAAAGAGAUUGAGGAGGAUGCCACCAUACAAGCUCAGAUUGCUUUGGUGCAAACCAAUCCAGACAAAUAUGUGAAUCAUCAAGUGCAACAGGGUAAACUUUGGUACAAGAAACGUCUGGUUAUCUCUAAACAGUCUAAAUUCAUUCCAUUACUAUUACAAGAGUAUCAUGACAGUAAGCUUGGGGGUCAUGCGGGUAUUUUGAAGACAAAGAAACGGAUUCAAACUAUGUUUCACUGGGAAGGGUUACAGAAGGAUGUUCAGAAACAUGUAUCAGAAUGUGAGGUUUGCCAGACACACAAAUCAACUACUUUGUCACCUGCAGGGUUGUUACAACCUCUUCCCAUUCCAGACCGAGUUUGGGAAGACUUAUCAUUGGAUUUUAUUGAGGGGCUGCCCAAAUCUGGAGGUGUCAAUGCUAUUCUGGUAGUGGUUGACCGUUUCAGCAAGUGUGCACAUUUCGUGGGGCUAUCACAUCCUUUUUCAGCUUCUGAUGUUGCUCAUAAGUUUGUCACUGAAGUGGUUCGUCUUCAUGGCUUCCCAAAGACUUUGGUGUCUGACCGUGACAGAGUGUUUUUGAGUUCUAUGUGGAAGGAGUUGUUUAAACUGGCUGGGACCAAGCUGCAGUACAGUACAGCAUAUCAUCCCCAAUCCGAUGGUCAGACGGAAGUGCUUAACCGUUGCUUGGAGUCUUAUUUGCGCUGUUUUGCUUCUCAACACCCACGCACAUGGGCUAAGUACCUGGCUUGGGCGGAAUUUUCUUACAAUACAUCCUAUCAUUCUGCCCUGAAGACAUCACCCUUCCAGGUGGUUUAUGGGAGAGACCCUCCUACUGUCCUCCAUUUUGAGCAGGGUUCUACUGCCAACACUACUCUGGCAGCUCAGUUGCAAGAAAGAGAUGCAAUGUUGGCCAAGAUUAAGGUGAAUUUGGAACGAGCACAACAGUUGAUGAAGCGCAGUGCGGACUUGAAACGCAGAGAAGUGGAGUUUGCAGUAGGGGAUUGGGUUUACUUGAAACUCCAACCGUAUCGGCAACAGUCUGUGACUCGCCGGGUCUGUCAGAAACUGGCUGCCAAAUUUUUUGGUCCCUUUGAGGUUAGUGAGAGAAUUGGGAAGGUGGCUUACCGCCUAAAGCUUCCUCCAGCGGCGGCUAUCCAUCCAGUGUUCCAUGUUUCGCAGUUGAAAGCAUCCUUGGGGUCUCAUCACCAGCUCCAAACAGACUUACCAGCUCUUACGGAUGCAGAGGAUUCCGUGUUACUGCCUGCGACGAUCUUGGAUAUGCAACACAAUGCUACGGGUGGUCGCGAGGUCUUGGUUCAGUGGUCUGGGUUUCCGGAUGUUCCAAACUCAUGGAUGCUAUCUAAAGACUUCGUCCAACAAUACCCAUCCUUCAAGCUUGAGGACAAGCUUGUUUUUCAGGGGGGGUGUAUUGAUACGAUCCAUCAAGGCUACUAUCGGAGGAAUAAGAAGAAGAAGACAGAUGACGUGGCAAUAAAUGAGUCGUGAAGCAAAGCCUUGGAAUGAAGUGGAGGGUUCGUUUUGUCAAACGUCUAUAAAAGAGCCGUUGCUCUGUAUCUAUCUUUUCUCAUGCUUUUAUUGUGAUUGUGUGUGUGUGACGAGCCUGCGUGCUUGUGAGGGAAGAUCUGUGUGAGAUCGACCUCGGAGAUUGAUUCGUAACUUGUUGUUGCGGAUUGAUUGUUGAUUUUCUGGUUUAUCGAUUUGUAAACUUCGUUAUUCAAAUCGAUCGGAAAGUUAUAUUGAUUCUCUGGGUUUUGAGUUAUUGAUCAUCUCUCUGGGUUUUGUGUUUGGUUCAUUCGAUUGCGUUAAACCUUAACAC
RNAcentral lists this long non-coding RNA (5375 nucleotides) under Arabidopsis lyrata. Its description in RNAcentral is "long non-coding RNA (ALYR_LNC000807)". Lineage: Eukaryota; Viridiplantae; Streptophyta; Magnoliopsida; Brassicales; Brassicaceae. The record is from RNAcentral.